AGAGCUAGAGGUUAAGGACAGUGCCUUAGGGACACCCAGAGGCAAGCGGAAGGAAGAUGAAAUGAAACUGGCUAAAGAGUCUGAGAGGGAUGAGCCACAAAGACAAGAGGGGCGUGCACCAGGAGAGCCGUACCCAGAACACAGAGCCUCCAGGGGAGGCUCCCACGGGGGGCACAGCGCUCAAUUACACUGGUCCUCUGAAAGAAAGCCGUGGCAACCCAGUUCUCCAACCCUUUUAAUACAAGCUCUUGCUUGAUCUCAAAGUUGGACUAAAAAGAAGGAAAAACAUUAUAAAAGCAAUUUCACAAGAGUCUAACCCCGCCCCAACAAUUUCCUUAAAAACACAUUCUGCCUUACCAGAGCCCACACCGUAACUAGCCUAACUAUUCAAUGUUUCUUUCCAAAGAAAGAAACCACCCUUCCUCUCCUCUCAAAUCACUUUCUUCCUCUCAUUUUAAAAUAGCUAAGGCCUGGUGUCUGCUUCUGUAAAGAUUACAGCCCCCAAAAAAACCCUACGGAGCAGCUCUACUCUGUUAACACGUGGGAUCUGGAGUCGGAACAGACUUUAAGGCGACUGACGACAACACUGGGUGUGUAGCUGAGAAGUGAUAACACUGCAGCUGUGAAUAUAUUAUCACCUCUCCCAUCGGAUUUGAGGUACAUCACUGUCUUCCCACCUUCCUGGCUCUGCAGAUUUGAUAUCCUAAAUUAAGGCUGCCAGCUGCCUGUACAAUGGCCCUGAUUGUACCUGACUCCAUGGACUAUCCACCAGCCCUCCACAUCUCCUCCCAGCCUUGUGAGCAGACCCGAGACAUACCUGGUAUAUGAGUCCCUUUCAGACUCAGAGCCCAGCCCCGUCCAGAUGAGAAACUGGAACCUGCAGAAGAUAAAUAUCCUGCCAAUGGCUACACAGCCAGUGAGUGGAGGAGCCAAGAUUGAAGCCCUGUCUGCUGCUGGCACCUGAGUGAUAGAGCACCCCCUAGGAUCAGUGGAGAGCCUUGUGACCUGAGGCUGGCGGGGAGGGGGGUGGCUGUUAAGGGCACACUAUCAGACUCACAGCGACCCUACGUACAACAGAACGGAACACCUCCAAGGUCCUGCACAAUCCUAACAAUGUUUGAGCCAACUGUUACAGCCACUAUAUCGAUCCAUCUCAUCAAAAGCCUUCUUCGUUUUCACUGACCCUCUAUCUUACCAAGUAUGAUGUCCCUAUCCAGGAACCGGUCCCUCCUGAUAACAUGUCCAAAGUACAUGAGACCAAGUCUCUCCAUCCUCACUUCCAAGGAGCACUCUGGCUGUACUUCUUUCAUGAGAGACUUGUUAGUUCAUCUGGCAACGCAUGGUAUAUUCACUUCUCGGUCAACACCAUAAUUCGAAGGCAUCAAUUCUUCUUCGGUCUUCCUUAUUCACAGUCCAGAUUUUGCAUGCAUAUGAGGAAUUUGAAAAUAUUAAGGCUUGGACCGGGUGCACCAUAGUCCUCGAAGUGACAUCUUUGCUUUUCAACACUUUAAAGAGGUCUUUUGCAGCAGAUUUGCCCAGUGCAAUAUGUCAUUUGAUUUCUUGACUACUGCUUCCAUGGGUGAUUAUGGAUCCAAGUAAAAUGAAAUCCUUGACAACUUCGAUCUUUUCUCCAAUUACCAGGGUAUUGCAUAUUGCUCCAGUUGUGAGAAUUUCUUAUUAUUUACUUUUAAUUAUUGUGCUUUAAGCAAAAAUUUACAGUUCAGGUCAGUUUCUCAUACCACAAUUUAUACACACAUUGUUAUGUGACCGUAGUUACUCUCCCUAUAAUGUGACAGCACACUCCUCCUUUCCACCCUGUAUUUUCCACGUCUGUUCAACCAGCUCCUGUCCCCUUCUGCCUUCACAUCUCCCCUCUGGACGUGAGCUGUCCAUUUAGUCUCACGUAUCUACUUGAGCUAAGAAUCACACUCUUCACAAGUUUCAUUUUAUGUCUUAUAGUCCAGUCUAAUCUUUGUCUGAAGAGUUGGCUUCAGGAAUGGUUUCAGUUUGGGGUAACAGAGAAUCCAGGGGCCAUGUCUUCCAGGGUCCCUCCAGUCUCAGUAAGACCAUUAAGUCUGGUCUUUUUACUAGAAUUUGAGGUCUGCAACCCACUUUUCUCCUGCUCCAUCAAGGACUCUCUGUUGCAUCCCCUGUAAGGGCAGUCAUCGGUGGUAGCUGGGCACCAUCUAGUUCUUCCGGUCUCAGGCUGACUGGGUCUCUGGUUUAUGUGGUCCUUUCUGUCUCUUGGGCUAAUAUUUUCCUUGGGUCUUUGGUAUUCUUCAUUCUCCUUUGCUCCAGGUGUGUUGGGACCAAUUGAUGCAUCUUAAAUGGUCGCUUGCUAGCUUUUAAGACCCCACACACCACUUACCAAAGUGGGAUGCAGAACAUUUCUUAACUUUGUUGUGCCAAUGUCCCUGAAAUAAUGGUCCCCAGACCCCUGCCCCUGCUACUCUGUCCCUCAAAGUGUUUGGUUGUAUUCAAUAAACUUCUUAGCUUUUGUUUAGUCCUGUUGUGCUGACUUCCUCUGUGUUGUGUGUUGUCCUUCCCUUCACCUAAGCUAAUUUUGGCUACAAUCUAGUUAGGGAAUCCCCCUCUCCCUUCCUCCCCACCAUCAAAGAAUGUUUUCUUCUGUGUUUAAACCUUUUCUUGAGUUCUUAUAAUAGUGGUAUCAGACAAUUUUUCCCGUCUGUGACUAAUUUCACUCAGCAUAAUGCCUUUCAGAUUCAUCCAUAUUAUGAGAUGUUUCACGGACGCAUCAUUGUUCUUUAUCAUUGCACAGCAUAAUGCCUUUCAGAUUCAUCCAUAUUAUGAGAUGUUUUAUGGACUCAUCAUUGCUCUUUAUCAUUGCAUAGUAUUCCACAAAAAAAAAAAAAAAUCAUCAUUGCAUUGUAUUCCAUAGUGUGACUAUAAUUUGUUUAUCCAUUCAUUCCUUGGUGGGCACCUAGACUAUUUCCAUCUUUUUGUUAUUAUGAACAGUGCUGUAAUGAACAUGGGUAGCAUAUAUCUACUCUUGUGAGGGCUCUUAUUUCUCUAGAAUACAUUCAAGGAGUGGAACUGCUAAAUCGUCUGGUAGUUCUAGUUUUUUAAGGAAGUACCAAAUUGAUUUCCAAAGUGGUGGUACCAUUUUACCUUCACACCAGCAGUGUACAAGUGUUCCAGUCUCUCCACAACCUCUCCAACAUUUAUCAUUUUGUGAUUUUUGGAUUAAUGCUGCCCUUGUUGGGGUGAGAUGGUAUCUCAUUGUAGUUUUGAUUUGCAUUUCUCUAAUGGCCAAUGAUUGUGAGCAUUUCCUCAGGUAUCUGUUAGCAGCCUGAAUGUCUUCUUUGGUGAAGUGCCUAUUCAUAUUCUUUGCUCAUUUUAUAACUGGGUUGUCUUUUUCUCGUUGAGGUUUUGCAGUUUUUAUAGACUUUAGAGAUCACACACUGAUCGGAUUUGUCGUAGCCAAAAAUUUUUUCCCAGUCUGAAAGUUGUCUUUUUGCUCUUUUGGUGAAGUCUUUUGAUGAGCGUUAAGUGUUUGAUUUUUAGGAGCUCCAGGUACCUAGUUUCGCUUCUGGUGUUUGUGCAUUGUUAGUAAUGUUUUGUAUACUGUUUAUGCCAUGGAUUACGGCUUCUAGCAUUGUCGCUAUUUUUUCAUCCAUGAUCUUUAUCAUUUUAGAUUUUGUAUUUAGGUCUUUGAUCCAUUUUGAGUUAGUUUUUGUGCAUGAAAAUUUUUUUUUUUUUUAUGAGGUAUGGGUCUUGUUUCAUUUUUUUUGCAGACGAAUAUCCAGUUACGCCAGCACCAUUUGCUAAAAAGGCUGUCUUCUCCCCAGUGAACAGACUUUGGGCCCUCAUCAAAUACCAGCUGCUCCUAGGUGGGUAAAUGUAUUUCUGGAUUCUCAGUACUGUUCCACUGGUCUAUGCAUCUGUUGUACUAGUACCAGGCUGUCUUGACUACCAUGUCAGUAUAAUAGGUUCUAAAAUCAGGUAGUGUGAGACCUCCCACUUUUUUCCUCUUUUUUGGUAAUGCUUUACUUAUCUGGGGCCUCUUAAUGAAGCUGGUGAUUUGUUUCUCCAUCUCAUUAAAAAAUGCACUGGAAUUUGGAUCAAGAUUGCAUUGUAUCUGUAGAUUGAUUUGGGUAGACUAGACAUUUUCACAAUGUUGAGUCUUCCUAUCCAUGAGCAAGGCAUGUUUUUCCACAAGGUCUCUUUUGGUUUCUUGCAGUAGUGUCUUGUAGUUUUCUUUGUAUGUGUCUUUUAUGUCUCUGGUUAGAUUUAUUCCUAAGUAAUUUAUCUUCUUGGGGGCUCUUGUAAAUGGUAUUGAUUUGGUGAUUUCCUCUUCUAAGUUCUCCUUGUUGGUGUAGAGGAAUCCAACUGAUUUUUGUAUGUUUAUGUUGUAUCCUGAUAUUCUGCUGAACUCUUCUAUUAGUUCCAGUAUUUUCCUGUGGAUUCUUUGGUGUUUUUUGUGUAUAAGAUCAUAUCAUCUGCAAAUAGGAAUACUUUUACUUCUUCCUUACCAAUUUGGACGCACUUUAUUUAUCUAGCCUAACUGCUCUGGCUAGGACAGUGUUGAAUAAGAGUGGUGAUAAAGGGCAUCCUUGUCUGGUUCCCAUUCUUAAGGGGAAAGCUUUCAGACUCUCCCUUUAGGAUGAUGUUGAUUGUAUAAAUGCCCUUUAUUAUGUUGAGGAAUUUCCCCUCUAUUUCUAUUUUGCUGAGAGUUUUUAUCAUGAAUGUGUGCUGGACUUUGUCAAAUGCCUUUUCUGCAUCAAUUGAUAAGAUCAUGUGGUUCCUGUCUUUUGUUUUAUUUAUGUGAUGGAUUACAUUCAUUGUUUUCCUAAUGUUGAACCAUCCCUGUAUUUCUGGUAUGGAUCUCCCACCUGGUCAUGGUGAAUUAUUUUUUUUGUAUGUUGUUAAAUUCUCUUGGCAAGAAUUUCGUUGAGGAUUUUUAGCAUCUAAGUUCAUGAGGGAUAUUGGUCUGUAAUUUUCUUUUUUUGUGAUGUCUUUACCUGGUUUUGGUAUCAGAGUUAUGCUGGCUUCACAGAAUUAUUAUGGGAGUAUUCCAUCCUUUUCUAUGCUCUGAAAUGCCUUUAAUAGUAGUGGUGUUAACGCUUCUCUGAAUGUUAGGAAGAAUUCUCCAGUGAACCCAUCAGGGCCAGGGCUUUUUUUUGUUGGGAGUAUUUUAAUAACCUUUUCAAUCUCUUCUUUUGUUAUAGAUUUAUUUAGUUGUUCUACAUCUGUUUGUGUUAGUUUAGGUAGGUAGUGUUUUUCUAGAAAUUUGACAUUUUCUCUAGGUUUUCAAAUUUGUUAGAGUACAAUUUUUCAUAGUAUUCUGUUAUGAUUCUUUUAAUUUCAGCUGGGUCUGUUGUGAUAUCGCCCAUCUCAUUUCUUAUACUGGUUAUUUACUUCCUCUCCUGUUUUUCUUUUGUCAGUAGGGCCAAUGGUUUAUCAAUUUCAUUGAUCUUUUCAAAGAACCAGCUUUUGGUCUUGUUAACUCCUUCAAUUGUUUUUCUAUUCUGUAUUUAAUUCUGAUCUAAUUUUUAUUUUUUCCUUUCUUCUGGUAUCCAAGGGCUUCUUUGGCUGCUCUCUUUCUAUUUGUUCGAGUUAUAGGGUUAAUGUUUUGAUUUUGGCCCUUUCUUCUUUUUGGAUGUGUGCUUUUAUUUUUAUAUAUCAACCUCUGAGCACUGCUUUUGCUGUGUCCCAAAGGUUCUAGCAGUAUGUGUUUUCAUUCUCAUUUGAUUCUGUGAAUUUUAUUCCAUCCUUUAUUUCUUCUGUAACCCAAUACCUUUUCAGCAAGGUGUUGUUCAGUUUCCUUGUGCUUUGGUUUUCUGUUUUUUUUUUUUUUUUCCUUGCUUUUUCUGUUAUGGAUUUCUACUUUAAUGGCUUUAUGGUCAGAAAAGAUCCUUUGUAAUAUUUUGAUGUUUUGGAGUCUCUUAAGGCUUGCUUUGUGGCCUAAUACGUGGUCUACUCUGGAGAAUGUCUCAUGUGGACUGGAAAAGACAGUAUACUUGGCUGCUGUUGGGUGGGGUGUUCUGUACAUGUCUAUGAGGUUAAAUUGGUAGAUUGUAGCAUUUAGAUCUUCCGUGUCUUUACUGAGCUUCUUUCUGGAUGUUCUGUCCUUCAUUAAAAGUGGUAUGUUGAAGUCUCCUACUAUUAUUCUGGAGCUGUCUAUCUCAGUUUUCAAUGUUGUUAGGGUUUGCUUUACGUAUGUUGGAGCCCUGUCGCUGGGUACAUAAAUAUUUAUUGUGGUUACGUCCUCCUGGUGUAUCGACCCUUUAAUCAUUAUAUAGUGUCCUUCCUUAUCCUUUGUGGUGGAUUUUACUUUAAAGUCUAUUUUGUUAGAAACAAAUAUUGCCACUCCUGCUCUUUUUUGAUUAUUGUUUGCUUGAUAUUUUUUUUCCAUCCUUUGAGUUUUAGUUUGUGUCUUUAAGUCUAAGGUGUGUCUCUUGUAGGCAGCAUAUAGAUGGAUCAUGUCUUUUUUUAUCUAUUCUGGACUCCUUGUCUCCUUAUUGGUGCAUUUAAUCCAUUUACAGUCAGCAUAAUUAUUGAUAGGUAUGAGUUUGGUGCUGUCAUUCUGCUGUAUUUUGUGUGUGUGUGUAUGUAUUGACAGUUUCUUUGUUCCACUUAAUUUUCUGUGCUGUUUUUCUUUAUGUAUUUUCUUUCCAUCUCUUUCAUUGUUGUUGAUUUUGUAUUAGCUGAGUCUUUAUGUUUUUCUUGCUUUUUAUUUUGAUGUGUGGGGCUGUUAGUUUCCUUUGUGGUUACCUUAAUAUUUACCCCUACUUUUCUAAGUUUAAACCAAUCUUUUACUUCUUUAUGCCACCUUGACUUCUUUUCCAUAUGAAGGUUCUAUGACUACAUUACUUAGUCCCUCUUUUUGUUUUACUGUUGUCAUCUUUUACAUAUUGACAUUUCUGUUUCCCUAUUUUCAGUGUUUUAGCUUUGACUUAUUUUUGUGGCUUCCUUAUCUGGGUUAAUAUCUGGUUUUCUGUUCUGUGUUCUAGUCUUGAGUUGUUACCUGAUGGUAUUGAUUUUCUAACUGGAGGACUCCCCUUAGUAUUUCUUGUCAUUCUGGUUUGGUGUUUACAAAUUCCCUAAACUUCUGUUUAUCUGGAAACGCUCUAACUUCUCCAACAUAUUUGAAAGACAAUUUUGCUGGAUACACAAUUCUUGGCUAGCAAUUUUCUUCCUUCAUAUGUGUCAUCCCAUUGCCUUCUUGUCUGCACUGUUUCUGCUGGGUAGUCCAAGCCUUAGUCGUAUUCACUCUUCUUUGUAGAUGACUUUCUGUUUAUCCCUAACCACUCUUAAAACUAUCUUUGGUUUUGGCAAGUUUGAUUAUAAUGACUUGGUGACUUUCUUUUGGGAUCUUCCUUGUGUAAGGCUCAAUCAGCAUCUUGGAUAAAUAUCUUCUCAUCUUUCACGAUAUCAGGAAGUUUUCUGCUAACAAAUCUUCAACAAUUCUCUCUGUAUUUUCUGUUAUUUCCCCACCUCAUUCUCGCACUCCAAUCACUUGCAGGUUAUUCCUCUUGAUAGAGUCCCACGUAAUUCUCAGGAUUUCUUCAUUUUUUAAAUUGUCUUAUCUUCUUUUUCCUCAAAUAAGUUGGUGUCAAGUGCUAUAUCAUCAAUCUCAUUAGUUCUGACUUCUACUGCCUCAAUUCUGCUCCUGAGACUUUCUACUGAGUUGUACAAUUCUGAAAUCUUAUUGUUAAUCUUCCGGAUUUCUGUUUGUUGUCUCUCUAUGGAUUCUUGCAGCCUAUUAAAUUUGUCCCUAUACUCUUCUAUAAUCUUCUUAAGUUCCUCUAUUGCUUAGCCUGUGUUUUCCUUGACUUAUUAUAUAUUUUGCCCGAUUCUCCUUCCCAAUCUCUUGAAGAAUUCUGAUAGUAAUCUUUUGUAUUAUAUUUCCGGUAAUUCCAGGAAUUUAUCAUCCUUUGGUAGAUUCCUUGAUUCUUUGUUUUGGGAGCCUGCUGAAGCCAUCACAGUCUGCCUCUUUAUGUGAUUUGAUAUUGACUGUUUUCUCUGAGCCAUCAAUAAAAAAAAAAAAUUUUUUUUUAAUCAAUAACUUAUUAUAUUUACUUAUUUUAUGUUUGCUUACUGUGUCCUAGCUUCUUCUUUUGUUUUGAUAUGCCUAAAUAGUCUGCUCAUGUGAGCUAGUUUAAUUAUUGGUGCCUCUGAAGCACUAAUGUCCUGUCACCAGGUGGUGAGAGCUGUUACUAGGUGUAUGAGCCCAGGAGUCCAUUACUUUUCUUGUAUGGAUUCAGCUCAGAUGUCUAGGUAGUUGGUCACCACAUGUGUGGUGCAGACUGUCGCCUACAAUCCUAGAUGGGCAGGGGUGAUUGGUGUAGGCACAGGUAUCUGGCUGCAGUAGUGCAACACGUGCUGAGUAAGGCAGGGGGCAGAUGGGUUCCCCUGAGUGUCUGGAAAGAAAGCAUGUCCUGUUCCCUAGAGCACGGAGGUGAGUGGGUUUUGCAGCCAGACUAUGGGCACACAAUGCUAUUGGCUGUAAGGACUGAGAGGCACCACUCAUCCUCAGACCCUAUUGCAGGCAGUUAGGUGGUGUGGGUAGAGUCACCAGUCCUCAGGCCCCUGAUGUAGGUUGGUGAGGACCUUGCUUAAUAGGCAGAGUAGUGUCAAAUGUCACAAACCUGCCUUUCUACCAUAUAGCUGAUACAGUCGAAGUUAGGCUUCAGGUAUAUACCUUGUUGUACUGUGCUAAUGAAGGCCUGCACUGUUGAAAUAGGCCCACACUAGUUUAUACAGGGGUGAAAGGCAUUCAAAGCCCACGGACUCCUUACACCAGUGCCUAGGCAAAGGAGCUGUGCCUGCCCUGAGUUUCUGGUUUAGGGGAGUUGGCUGAUCAUUUUUUUCUGUUUAUUAAUUUGUUCCCUCUCCAUGGCCGGGAGAAUGGCUCAGAGUGCAUAACCAGUCCUACUUCUGGAACCAGGGGACACAGCAAUCUCUGAAGCUGACACGGGACCCAGUGCAGAGCGGGGAGGGGGAAGAUAAAUGGGAGAAAGGUUUUUUCCAAAGGAGUGUUUUUUGAUCUGUGCAGUAAGUUAGAUGCAUGUACUUACUUUUCCCUAUUGAGGGCUUCUGGAGGGUUAAACAGACUCUACCGCUUGGUCUCUCCCGAUGUGGAAAACGCAUCCCAAGUGCCACUGUUUGCUGAUCCAGCCUACAGAAUGCCAGUUCCUGCUGGAUCAGGUGUGGCAACUUCUCGUGCUUCUGAACUGACUCUCCCUCCCCCUGCCACUCAGUCCGAUUCCUCAACUUUUCCUUUGAUGUUCAGGGCUCCUAGAUUAUCAUAUGUAAUCGAUUUAUCUGUUUUUUUCUGGUCUUUGUUGUAAGAGGGAUCACAGGAAGUAUCUGACUACUACGCCAUCUUGGCCCUGACGCCCUGAUUUUUUUAAGUUGAGGUGCAAUCCAUACUGAGGCUUUGCUCUUCAUCAGUAAGUGCUUCAAGUCCUCUUCGUUUUGACAAAGUUGUGUCAUCUGCAUAUCGCAAGUUGUUAAUGAGUCUUCCACCAAACCUGAUGCCCUGUUUUUCUUCAUUCAGUCCAGCUUCUUGGAUUAUCUACUCAGACUGAGAAGUCUGUUGAAAUACUUUGACCCACACCUUUCCUGAUUUUAAACCACACAGUAUCCUCUUGUUCUGUUCAAACUGCCUCUUGGUCUAUGUACAGGUUCCUCAUGAGUAAAAUUAAGUAUUCCAGAAUUCCCAUUAGUUGCAAUGUUAUCCAUAAUUUGUUAUGAUCCACACAGUUGAAUGCCUUUGCAUCAUCAAUAAAACACAGGUAAACAUCUUUCUGGUAUUUUUAGCCAAGAUCCAUUUAACAUAAGGAAUGAUAUCCCACAUUCCAAGUACUCUUCUGAAUCCAACUUGAUGUGCUGAAUCCUACUGAUGCACUGCGACAACCGUUUUUGAAUUAUCUUCAGCUAAAUUUUACUUGUGUGUGAUAUUAAUGAUAAUACUGUUUAAUAAUUUCCACAUUCGGUUGGAUCAUCUUUCUUGGAACGGGCACAAAUAUGGAUCUCUUCCAGUUGGCUGGCCAGGGAACUAUCUUCCAAAUUUCUUUGCAUAGAUGAGCGAGCACCUCCAGCAUUGCAUCUGUUUGUUGAAACAUCUCAAUUGGUAUUCCGUCAAUUCCUGGUGCCUUGUUUUUCUCCAAUACCUUCAGUGCAGCUUGGACUUCUUCCUUCCUUCAAUAUCAUCGGCUCUAGAUCAUAUGCUACAUUAAAUAUAUAUGUGUGUGUGUGUGUAUACAUACAUACACACACACACACACAUAUAUAUACUUUUAGUUUUUUUAGUUUUACUUUUGAGUUUUUUUUCCGACGGCAGCAGGUUUUCUUUUCUUUUUUUUUUAUUUAUAUAUAUACUUUUAGAAACACUGGAUUAAGGUUGUUGUUCCUAUUUCUCAACCAAUAUGAGAAAUGCUUUUAAUUAAAUGCCACAAAUAGUUGUACUUCUAGGAACUAAUUUAUUGUUUCCUCCACUGUAAUUACCCCUACCCAAAGGCUAUUAAAUGGUGUGAUUAUAGCUGGAUUUCCCUUUUUGCUUUGGUUGCCAGGAAUAUCAGGCUCAAACCUGCUGCCACCUAGAGCAAUGGCGUGUGACACCAUGGUUGCAUGUAAGCAUUUUAUUUCUUUUUCUUCCUGGUCUUCAAAUUCUAAUUGUAAUUCCACAAGAGUGUACUGCUCAGAUACCACCUCUAACAACUGAGUCAGCUUCAACUCAUGACAACCUUAUGUAUAACAGAACAAAAGGUUGCAAGGUCUAGUACCACCAUCAUGAUCAUUGGUAGGUUCAAAGAAAAAAAUUUCAAACAGGGCACAAAAUCAUUAUAUCUAAAUACCUCAAGAGUAAGCCACCAGACAGGUAGGUUAAGUCCUGAGUACCAAGAUAAGUCUCCUUCCACCUAAUUACGUCCUCUCUUGGAAAUGAACUCUACAGAUGAACUGAUAAGACCAUGAUACUAUUACCAAAGCUUGUGUGUCCAGAUGUAAGAUAAACACAAGUUAGGAUAAAAUGGCCCCAGCUCACAUGUGGCAUUAAGAAACCUUCCAGAAGAAUAAGAAAGUCUAAUUUUGGCAUCAGGGCAGUGGCAGAAACAGCCACACAAAUUACAAGUUCAUUGACAUCUACCUACCCACACUACCUCACUGUUCUUAUCCAGCUUUCAAUCCUUCCACCAUUAGUCCAGUCUCAGGCACCAUAUACCCUCAGCUUCAUCUGACACACCGUGAUCGCAGGACCAACAGAUGUGACCGUUGAAGGAAAUAUGGCGGGUGCUCUAGCUCCUUCCCUUCAUUUUACUGGGAGAAAGCUGAAACACAGAGGAAGGAAAUAAUACACCUAGAAUCACAUACCUAUAAGUGACAGGGAUGUCUCCUGACGCCCAGUCCACUGUUAUCUCUACCACUGUUAGAAGAAAAAGUAGACACUAUCACUGCUUGGUCUCACUUCCUCAUGUGUUAAACUUUCUACCACUUGUUGGAUGCAUGUUACCCUGUUCAAGGUGCUGACAAUGCUACACCAGCAGGUACUAAAAUAUGAACCAACAGGUAUACCCACAGUUGAACAAAGAAAUGGAAACGUUAACAUAAGUGCACAAUGCGACAGCAGCACCCCUUCCUUCUAGAGACACAUGUGGGAUCCUAGAGAAGGGACGGGUAAGGACAGGA
This is a long non-coding RNA of Loxodonta africana (African savanna elephant), 11652 nucleotides long. RefSeq lists it as uncharacterized. The record is from RefSeq and is a predicted model, not a curated record. NCBI's taxonomy places the organism in Eukaryota, Metazoa, Chordata, Mammalia, Proboscidea, Elephantidae. The transcript has 4 exons.